CCUACGGGUGGCAGCAGUGGGGAAUAUUGCGCAAUGGGCGAAAGCCUGACGCAGCGACGCCGCGUGAGGGAUGAAGGUCUUCGGAUCGUAAAACUCUGUCAGCAGGGAAGAACGGUCACUGUGCUAAUCAGCAGUGAAUUGACGGUACCUGCAAAGGACGCACCGGCUAACUCCGUGCCAGCGGACGCGGUAAUACGGAGGGUGCGUGCGUUAAUCGGAAUUACUGGGCGUAAAGCGCUCGUAGGCGGUAUGUCAAGUCAAGGGUGAAAUCCCCGCGCUCAACGUGGGAACUGCCUUUGAAACUGGCAAACUGGAGUGUGUGAGAGGAUAGUGGAAUUCCAGGUGUAGGAGUGAAAUCCGUAGAUAUCAGGAGGAACAUCAGUGGCGAAGGCGACUAUCUGGCACAUAACUGACGCUGAGGAGCGAAAGCGUGGGUAGCAAACAGGAUUAGAUACCCGGGUAGUC
RNAcentral lists this ribosomal RNA (465 nucleotides) under uncultured bacterium. Its description in RNAcentral is "partial 16S ribosomal RNA". It matches the Rfam family "Bacterial small subunit ribosomal RNA", at positions 338 to 795 of the family's 1533-position model. The record is from RNAcentral.